This 422-nucleotide ribosomal RNA is filed under the name uncultured bacterium. Its description in RNAcentral is "bacterial SSU rRNA". It matches the Rfam family "Bacterial small subunit ribosomal RNA", at positions 357 to 775 of the family's 1533-position model. The record is from RNAcentral.
AGGAAUAUUGGUCAAUGGGCGGGAGCCUGAACCAGCCAAGUCGCGUGAGGGAAGACGGUCCUAUGGAUUGUAAACCUCUUUAGGCGGGGAGCAAUGCCGGGCACGCGUGCCCGGAGGGAGAGUACCCGCAGAAUAAGCAUCGGCUAACUCCGUGCCAGCAGCCGCGGUAAUACGGAGGAUGCGAGCGUUAUCCGGAUUUAUUGGGUUUAAAGGGUGCGUAGGCGGCAGAUUAAGUUAGAGGUGAAAUUCCGAGGCUCAACCUUGGCACUGCCUCUGAUACUGGUUUGCUAGCGAGUAGAUGCUGUAGGCGGAAUGUGUGGUGUAGCGGUGAAAUGCAUAGAGAUCACACAGAACACCGAUUGCGAAGGCAGCUUACAAAUCUAUAUCGGACGCUGAGGCACGAAAGCGUGGGGAGCAAACAG